GAUGAACGCUAGCGGCAGGCCUAACACAUGCAAGUCGAGGGGUAGAGUUCUUCGGAACUUGAGACCGGCGCACGGGUGCGUAACGCGUAUGCAAUCUACCUUAUACAGGGGAAUAGCCCAGAGAAAUUUGGAUUAAUGCCCCAUAGCAUUACGACUUGGCAUCAAGAUGUAAUUAAAGUUCCAACGGUAUAAGAUGAGCAUGCGUCCCAUUAGUUAGUUGGUAAGGUAACGGCUUACCAAGACAAUGAUGGGUAGGGGUCCUGAGAGGGAGAUCCCCCACACGGGUACUGAGACACGGACCAGACUCCUACGGGAGGCAGCAGUGAGGAAUAUUGGUCAAUGGGCGCAAGCCUGAACCAGCCAUGCCGCGUGCAGGAAGACGGUCCUAUGGAUUGUAAACUGCUUUUAUACAGGAAGAAACACCUCCACGUGUGGAGGCUUGACGGUACUGUAGGAAUAAGGAUCGGCUAACUCCGUGCCAGCCGCCGCGGUAACAC
Molecule: ribosomal RNA, 497 nt
Filed under: uncultured bacterium
Lineage: Bacteria
Description: bacterial SSU rRNA
Rfam family: Bacterial small subunit ribosomal RNA
Source: RNAcentral